This 74-nucleotide transfer RNA is filed under the name Nostoc sp. UHCC 0702. RNAcentral describes it as "tRNA-Leu". It matches the Rfam family "tRNA". From Rfam's summary of the family: Transfer RNA (tRNA) molecules are approximately 80 nucleotides in length. Their secondary structure includes four short double-helical elements and three loops (D, anti-codon, and T loops). Further hydrogen bonds mediate the characteristic L-shaped molecular structure. tRNAs have two regions of fundamental functional importance: the anti-codon, which is responsible for specific mRNA codon recognition, and the 3' end, to which the tRNAs corresponding amino acid is attached (by aminoacyl-tRNA synthetases). tRNAs cope with the degeneracy of the genetic code in two manners: having more than one tRNA (with a specific anti-codon) for a particular amino acid; and 'wobble' base-pairing, i.e. permitting non-standard base-pairing at the 3rd anti-codon position. Lineage: Bacteria; Bacillati; Cyanobacteriota; Cyanophyceae; Nostocales; Nostocaceae. The record is from RNAcentral.
GCUCCCGUAGCCCAACUGGCAGAGGCGUCAGGUCGAGAGCUUGAUUAGUACCAGUUCAAAUCUGGUCGGGAGUA